GAUGAACGCUGGCGGCGUGCCUAAUACAUGCAAGUCGAGCGAACAGACGAGGAGCUUGCUCCUCUGACGUUAGCGGCGGACGGGUGAGUAACACGUGGAUAACCUACCUAUAAGACUGGGAUAACUUCGGGAAACCGGAGCUAAUACCGGAUAAUAUAUUGAACCGCAUGGUUCAAUAGUGAAAGACGGUUUUGCUGUCACUUAUAGAUGGAUCCGCGCCGCAUUAGCUAGUUGGUAAGGUAACAGCUUACCAAGGCAACGAUGCGUAGCCGACCUGAGAGGGUGAUCGGCCACACUGGAACUGAGACACGGUCCAGACUCCUACGGGAGGCGGCAGUAGGGAAUCUUCCGCAAUGGGCGAAAGCCUGACGGAGCAACGCCGCGUGAGUGAUGAAGGUCUUCGGAUCGUAAAACUCUGUUAUUAGGGAAGAACAAAUGUGUAAGUAACUAUGCACGUCUUGACGGUACCUAAUCAGAAAGCCACGGCUAACUACGUG
RNAcentral lists this ribosomal RNA (497 nucleotides) under uncultured bacterium. RNAcentral describes it as "partial 16S ribosomal RNA". It matches the Rfam family "Bacterial small subunit ribosomal RNA", at positions 28 to 507 of the family's 1533-position model. The record is from RNAcentral.